UUGUUGACAUUCUUAGGCCCGGUCUUUUCACCUCCGAAUAAAUAUGCUCUUAUCUGGCAGUUAGCUAUCUGGAGGAUAAAUAUUUAUUCGCCAGAUAAAAUGUACCCGUCUUUUCACGUCAAUUUAUGUUCCAGUUAGUUAUCCGGUAGAUAAGCUUAAAACUUUAACUUAACCUAACAUAAUUAGAUUCACAUAAUCAAGACCAAGAUGAUUUUCUCGAUUUUAUUUCCAUUUUGGAAGAAGGAAAUAAAGAAAACAUUGAUUAUGGUGAAAAAGUUUACUGGAGAACUUGAACAAGAGGUAAAUAAAUUUUAAAUUAGUGGAAAACUGUUGAUUUGUAUGUAAAGAAGACAAAGACAAGUUUAAAUAAAGACAAGCUAGCUAAUGAAACAGAUGCAGUGGUAAUUUUGUUUACAUAAUUAAUAAUUUUAACAUAUUAUAUUAUUAAUAUCUAUUAACUGUUCAAUGAUGUAAAAAUUUGUUAAUGUGGGGAAAACUUUUAUUUAAAUUCAAUACUAUAUUUCUGUAGUGGUAAGGCAAAAAUUUGAUUUUAUGUCCGAUUUUAGCCAGAAUGAGAUUAUUUGCUUGAUAUGCUAUUUAGUAAAAUUUCUUCAAGAUGGUGGAGUUUGGUAUGUGUAUGAUGAAGGUAAAAACCCCUUUGUUCCACAUAUCUUUUGUAUAAAAGUUAUGUCCCCUUUUAACUUACUUAGUAGAACCCCGAUUAUCUGGGUGGGCUUUCUAUUACUCAAGUUGCAUUUUUGAGGUUUUAUCAAAAUAGCGUCAUCGUAAAUCACUUGACUCUAUAUGACGAAAGAGAGACUCAUAAUGAAAGAUUUAUUUUUUUCUGUUAUCUCUUUAUAGUAGGUACAUAAUAAUAUCUAUGUAUACACAUACAUAUUAUGUAUGUGUAUACGUACGUAUUAUACAUAAUAUGAAAUACAUGUUCGGAUUAUCCGUGCUUUUCAAUUAUCAGUGCCACCUUCGGUCUCGAGGAGCACGGAUAAUCGGGGUUCUACUGUAUUAGGUAGGCCAGAACUUGAUAUAUUACUUGAUUUCUUAUGUUGAUUACUUUUCGUUUUUGGGUUGGCAAAACAUGAUUCAAACUUUCAAAAUGCUCUCCUGAAAAAUUAGGCUAGAUGGACAUAUCAAUCAUCGUCAAAACGCUACAGAUUUAUAAUCCAUCCAACUGGUAUAUUGAAUAGUAAACUAGGGAAAUAACCAACUAAGUAUAUCAAAACACAAUAUUUUUAAAGAUUGGAUAAUUUACAUUACAUGGUAACUUGAAGAAUCCCAAUAACAAGAAUAAAACCUAAUUUUAAUAUUUGUUAGUAGAUACCUUUCACUUUUCUAAAUAAAAAAAUUAGUUACAGAUAUGAUAAACAUCUAGAAGAUUCAAUCCUGCAUUCUUAAAGAAAAAAGCUAGUUUUAGUAGUAAGCUACCAAUAAUAAACUAGAGAAUGUAUUACAAGAAAGAACAACGCUAAUACUAAACAUACCUCAAUUGCUUCAGAUAGAAAAAGAGGACGAAAAGGUACAACACAAGCGUGCUAGAGAAAAUGAAAGGGCAGAAGAGAGACACAAAAAUUCAUUGAUUUAUUAAAUUUAAAAAUUUAAUUAUACAAAGGACAAUUAAAUAAAGAAUAAAAAAAUGA
Diabrotica virgifera virgifera (western corn rootworm) is the source of this 1652-nucleotide long non-coding RNA. RefSeq lists it as uncharacterized. The record is from RefSeq and is a predicted model, not a curated record. Lineage: Eukaryota; Metazoa; Arthropoda; Insecta; Coleoptera; Chrysomelidae. The transcript is spliced from 3 exons.